RNAcentral lists this ribosomal RNA (486 nucleotides) under uncultured organism. RNAcentral describes it as "bacterial SSU rRNA". It matches the Rfam family "Bacterial small subunit ribosomal RNA", at positions 30 to 507 of the family's 1533-position model. The record is from RNAcentral.
AUUGAACGCUGGCGGCAUGCUUUACACAUGCAAGUCGAACGGCAGCACGGGUGCUUGCACCUGGUGGCGAGUGGCGGACGGGUGAGUAAUACAUCGGAACGUGUCCUGAAGUGGGGGAUAACGCAUCGAAAGAUGUGCUAAUACCGCAUAUACUCUAAGGAGGAAAGUAGGGGAUCGAAAGACCUUAUGCUUUUGGAGCGGCCGAUGUCUGAUUAGCUAGUUGGUAAGGUAAUGGCUUACCAAGGCGACGAUCAGUAGUUGGUCUGAGAGGACGACCAGCCACACUGGGACUGAGACACGGCCCAGACUCCUACGGGAGGCAGCAGUGGGGAAUUUUGGACAAUGGGCGCAAGCCUGAUCCAGCAAUGCCGCGUGAGUGAAGAAGGCCUUCGGGUUGUAAAGCUCUUUCAGUCGAGAAGAAAAGAUUACUGAUAAUACCAGUAAUCCAUGACGGUAUCGACAGAAGAAGCACCGGCUAACUACGUG